Molecule: long non-coding RNA, 2033 nt
Filed under: Homo sapiens (human)
Lineage: Eukaryota; Metazoa; Chordata; Mammalia; Primates; Hominidae
Description: HSALNT0084877
Source: RNAcentral
GUUCACUGUAGUUCAUGCCAUUUGCAUGAAACUGACAUAAGCUGACACUCUGCUGUAUAUCUUGGCACAAUAUUGCUUUCAUCUCUGGAGUCGGGUGUCUUACAAAUUUAACAUUGUCAGUUGGGACCGUCCAAAGAUAUUUACAGUAAUGCUGAGGUCAAGCAAUGGCAGUGGAACUGUACAGGAUGUGGGGGCUGGGCCAAAGCCGUGGGACUCCGGAUUUAUUUUGUGAGUUGGAGAAUUGUCUAGUCAUCAGACCAACAGAGGAGCAAACCUCUAACAGCAUCUCCCUGCUUCUUCCCACCCUCUCAACAGGAGGCAUUGGAGAAGGUUUAUCUAAUGACUGACAUCUGACGCAUAAGGUGCAGGCACACUUACUCAGGGUGCGAAUAUUUACUGAGUGUCUCUGUGGGGCCAUACACUACUCUAGGCACUGGACAUACACCAGUAAAGAGAAGCUGUCCUCAUCUGUCUUAUUUUCUGGUCUUAAAUCUAAAGCCAAGAGGCAUUUAGCAGCACAAAUCCUCUUCAGCAGUCAACACUCCCAAAGUUUCAGGCACUGAGGAAAAUAAAAACAAAACUGUGGCCCUUUCCCAAGAAGCGCACAGUGUCCACAAGAAUGUGAAAGCCAUCUGGAAACUGAUAAACUGCAAAAAGCUCAGCCAUCUUCUGUUGGCAAAAUAAAAGAAUGGAUGUCCUUGGAAGAACGAUGUCCUUGGAAAGUCAUCAAAUAAAAAUGUGAGAGAAACACAGCCAUUAGAAGCUAAACAGCUUGGGACACCCUUGUUUACACAGCACGAUCACUGUAAUAUUUUGAAGUAAAUUGUUGUUUUUAAAAUCCAAUAAAAUCUACUUUCCAUUCACCUUGAAAAUGUGAAUUGAAACUCAAGAGCCAAAAACAAAAACAAAAACAAAAAACACAUGAGAACACUACAUGCUGACCCUGAGUCUCCAAAACAUCUAUUUUGUGCAAAGCACUUUGCAGUAUCCAAGUACUUCACAUUCAUUGCCUCACGGCAUGAGGACCCCCUCAAGGCCUUUAACCAUCAAGAUAUUGCUGCAUUCGUGGGGGGAUCUCCUUCCCAUUUUUCUGGAAAAUCACUUUUCAAACAAAGAUUUUAAAGGGCAGAACAGAGCCAACCCAUGGUUUCCACAUAAGUCACUGCCAAAAAUGUAGAAGACAGACUUGUGAUCAUUUUUAAGAGGAAAACUAGCAGAUUCUAUCUUAGUCACACAAAGUUAUCAACUCAGGCCAAAAUGACAAAACACUUGAAGGGCUGGCUUCACUAUUUCCAAAAUCAAAAUAGUCAUCAACAAGUGGUUAAAAUCGGGGGAAGGUUGCACUUAUCAUGUUUUAGAGGCAAGCCAUUUCCAAGUUAAGAUUUUAAGAGGCACAAGCAACCAAGAACUCACAAUCAUGAUACGGUUUUCUCUUCCACCUAGGACCUAUGUCCUCACCUCCUCCACUCAUGUUCACCUUUAUUGUAAAAAUAGCAACGCUGGAAGUAAUGGCACUCUAGGAGCAUUGGGACGGAUUUCAAAAAUCCUUCUUCUGAGCCCAAUAGUGUCUUAAGCCAAGUAGACAGCUCGCAGGGUAAACACAUAGCAAAAUAUAUUCUAGAGCACUACCAUGCAGGCUGGUUUUGCCCUAAGGAAUCAAACUACCUGCAAGUUCUGGAUCCAGGUUUCGAGGGAGUAUGGUGAGCUGUACAGUCUUGUGAACUAGGGGACUCGCACAUUUCUGGCUUCCACUACCCCGGCCUCCCUCUUUUUUGUUAGCUCCACUUAAAGGGAAAGCCCUGUGUACACUUCUUAUAUUUUAUCUUUUUUUUUUUUUUUUUUUGAGAUGGAGUUUCGCUCUUGUUGCCUAGGCUGGAGUACAAUGGCGUGAUCUCGGCUCACCGCAACCUCCGACUCCCAGGUUCAAGCGAUUCUCCUGCCUCAGCCUCCCGAGUAGCUGAGAUUACAGACAUCUCCCAAGUAGCUGAGAUUACAGGCAUGCGCACCACCACACCUGGCUUUUUUUUUUUUUU